GAUGAAGAACGUAGCGAAAUGCGAUAAGUAGUGUGAAUUGCAGAAUUUAGUGAAUCAUCGAAUCUUUGAACGCACAUUGCGCCCUUUGGUAUUCCUUAGGGCAUGCCUGUUCGAGCGUCAUCUACACCCUCAAGCACAGCUUGGUGAUGGGCGCCUGUCCCGCCCCCCACGGGGGCGCGGACUCGCCUCAAAUGCAUUGGCGGCCGGCGACCUGGCUUCGAGCGCAGCAGAAACGCGUACUCGGGGACCGGGCGCCCGCUCCCAGAAGCCAACCCACCAAGUUUGACCUCGGAUCAGGUAGGGAUACCCGCUGAACUUAAGCAUAUCAAUAAGCGGAGGA
RNAcentral lists this unclassified non-coding RNA (340 nucleotides) under soil metagenome. RNAcentral's name for it is "partial contains 5.8S ribosomal RNA, internal transcribed spacer 2, and large subunit ribosomal RNA". The stretch from base 1 to 120 matches the Rfam family "5.8S ribosomal RNA", at positions 35 to 154 of the family's 154-position model. The record is from RNAcentral.